RNAcentral lists this ribosomal RNA (1452 nucleotides) under uncultured organism. RNAcentral describes it as "SSU rRNA". It matches the Rfam family "Bacterial small subunit ribosomal RNA". The record is from RNAcentral.
GGAUGAACGCUAGCUACAGGCUUAACACAUGCAAGUCGAGGGGCAGCGGGAAGUCAGCUUGCUGACUUUGCCGGCGACCGGCGCACGGGUGAGUAACACGUAUCCAACCUUCCCGUUACUCUGGGAUAGCCUUUCGAAAGAAAGAUUAAUACCGGAUAGUAUCGAGAGAUUGCAUGAUUACCCGAUUAAAGAUUCAUCGGUAACGGAUGGGGAUGCGUUCCAUUAGGCAGUUGGCGGGGUAACGGCCCACCAAACCGACGAUGGAUAGGGGUUCUGAGAGGAAGGUCCCCCACAUUGGAACUGAGACACGGUCCAAACUCCUACGGGAGGCAGCAGUGAGGAAUAUUGGUCAAUGGGCGAGAGCCUGAACCAGCCAAGUAGCGUGAAGGAUGACUGCCCUACGGGUUGUAAACUUCUUUUAUAAGGGAAUAAAGUAUUCUACGUGUAGAGUUUUGUAUGUACCUUAUGAAUAAGCAUCGGCUAACUCCGUGCCAGCAGCCGCGGUAAUACGGAGGAUGCGAGCGUUAUCCGGAUUUAUUGGGUUUAAAGGGAGCGUAGACGGCCGUUUAAGUCAGCUGUGAAAUGGUGCGGCUCAACCGUAGCACUGCAGUUGAAACUGGACGGCUUGAGUGCAGUUGAGGCAGGCGGAAUUUGUGGUGUAGCGGUGAAAUGCUUAGAUAUCACGAAGAACCCCGAUUGCGAAGGCAGCCUGCUAAGCUGCAACUGACGUUGAGGCUCGAAAGUGUGGGUAUCAAACAGGAUUAGAUACCCUGGUAGUCCACACGGUAAACGAUGGAUACUCGCUGUUGGCGAUAUACUGUCAGCGGCCAAGUGAAAACGUUAAGUAUCCCACCUGGGGAGUACGCCGGCAACGGUGAAACUCAAAGGAAUUGACGGGGGCCCGCACAAGCGGAGGAACAUGUGGUUUAAUUCGAUGAUACGCGAGGAACCUUACCCGGGCUUGAAUUGCAGACGAGUCAUCCGGAGACGGAUGAGCCGCAAGGCGUCUGUGAAGGUGCUGCAUGGUUGUCGUCAGCUCGUGCCGUGAGGUGUCGGCUUAAGUGCCAUAACGAGCGCAACCCUUUCCGCCGGUUACUAACAGGUGAUGCUGAGGACUCCGACGGUACUGCCAUCGUAAGAUGUGAGGAAGGUGGGGAUGACGUCAAAUCAGCACGGCCCUUACGUCCGGGGCUACACACGUGUUACAAUGGGGGGUACAGAAGGCAGCGACCGGGCGACCGGAAGCGAAUCCCAAAAGCCCCUCUCAGUUCGGACUGGAGUCUGCAACCCGACUCCACGAAGCUGGAUUCGCUAGUAAUCGCGCAUCAGCCACGGCGCGGUGAAUACGUUCCCGGGCCUUGUACACACCGCCCGUCAAGCCAUGAAAGCCGGGGGUACCUGAAGUGCGUAACCGCGAGGAGCGUCCUAGGGUAAAACCGGUAAUUGGGGCUA